GGCUACCAUGCAAGUCGAACGGCAGCACAGGGAAGCUUGCUCCCUGGGUGGCGAGUGGCGGACGGGUGAGGAAUACAUCGGAAUCUACUUUGUCGUGGGGGAUAACGUAGGGAAACUUACGCUAAUACCGCAUACGACCUACGGGUGAAAGCAGGGGACCUUCGGGCCUUGCGCGAUUGAAUGAGCCGAUGUCGGAUUAGCUAGUUGGCGGGGUAAAGGCCCACCAAGGCGACGAUCCGUAGCUGGUCUGAGAGGAUGAUCAGCCACACUGGAACUGAGACACGGUCCAGACUCCUACGGGAGGCAGCAGUGGGGAAUAUUGGACAAUGGGCGCAAGCCUGAUCCAGCCAUACCGCGUGGGUGAAGAAGGCCUUCGGGUUGUAAAGCCC
This 389-nucleotide ribosomal RNA is filed under the name Stenotrophomonas maltophilia. RNAcentral describes it as "bacterial SSU rRNA". It matches the Rfam family "Bacterial small subunit ribosomal RNA", at positions 45 to 433 of the family's 1533-position model. Lineage: Bacteria; Pseudomonadati; Pseudomonadota; Gammaproteobacteria; Lysobacterales; Lysobacteraceae. The record is from RNAcentral.